Gorilla gorilla gorilla (western lowland gorilla) is the source of this 1271-nucleotide long non-coding RNA. RefSeq lists it as uncharacterized. Lineage: Eukaryota; Metazoa; Chordata; Mammalia; Primates; Hominidae. The record is from RefSeq and is a predicted model, not a curated record. The transcript is spliced from 3 exons.
CCCCACCUCGCCGCUCAGGCUGUGAUGGAAAGGUCCCUGGGAGUGGGGAGGAGGGCAAUUUGAAACCCGGAGGGGAUCCUGUAGCCCAGUUCUCCUCGGUUCCCUAAACCUCCAGGAAAGCGGAGAAAGUCACAUUGUGGUGGCAGCAGCGGGUUUGUUUUUUUUAAUCUGUUAAUAAAACGCAAGUGAAUCAAAUCCGCCCUAAGGGAAGGGGGGGGCGCGGCGAGGCAGAGGCCAUGGUGUUUGCAGAAGUUGGAAAUUUAAUAAGAAGGAAAAAUAAAAAUAGCCACUGUGCUGGAGAGAGAGAGAGAGAGAAGGUUGGGAGAAGCAGGCAAGUGUGGGACUCCUGGCUGGGUGGAAACGUGCAGAGGGGGCUGGGGAAGGCGAGGGCACCACUAGUCCGGAGGAGCAAGGGAGACACUGCUGGGGAUACCAGGAGGGGAGUCUUUGGGGUGUCACCAGAACAGUCCAGUUCCUUGGCAGAUUUUUCACCAGCAGUGAGCUGGGCACAGAGGUUGGGGUUUGGUCCUCUAAACACCUGGGUGUAGAGGUCCAGCCUCUGGUUACUUGGUCUUCACAGCGCCCCCCACCUUCUGAGCUACUCAAGAGAUGGGGGACAGUAGCAGUACUGCCAAGAACAGUUGUGCAAGUUGCGCACUGCACAAGCAUACCAGACAGAGAGGCUAGAGCAGAAGCUAACAUCAUCUGUUCCCCUCACCACACAUUGCAUCUGCCCAGAGGAAGAGGUGCCGUGCUGGGCAGUGAAUGAAUGAACCUUGCCCUGGGGUUAACACUCCAGUGGGAUGAACAGACAAACCCCACAAGCACUGCAUACGAGCUAUCAGCUUCCCAGUUUGCACAAUUCAUCAAGAAAUAAUGCGGGGCCACUGGCACAAAUGAUGAGGCAUCUCCCGGAAGCUUAACUUCCUAUCCAUCCCAUUUCUUGGACAGACGAUGCCAGUUAAUUACUUUGAAUGUAAGUAUUUUAUCCAAAAGCACUUAUGUGUCUAAACAAACUCCUACAAAUCAACACAAAAAUGGUACAUAAUUCAACAGAAAAAUGGGCAUAAGCUUUUCUUUAUCGAUAAAUAAGUAGAAAGAAACCCUAUCCCAGGUAACACCAAAGCUUUGCCCUCUGUUGAAACAUCCUAGGCUUCUUCUUUCCACUCUUAUUACAACUGAUCUGAUUUAGCCCCUUCACACUUUACUCCUACAUUUUGCUAGACCUUUCUAUUUUGUCUCCCUGAAAUAAGCUUUUCCUUUUGGGCACU